Molecule: ribosomal RNA, 740 nt
Filed under: uncultured bacterium
Lineage: Bacteria
Description: bacterial SSU rRNA
Rfam family: Bacterial small subunit ribosomal RNA
Source: RNAcentral
AGAGUUUGAUCCUGGCUCAGAACGAACGCUGGCGGCAGGCUUAACACAUGCAAGUCGAACGCACCGCAAGGUGAGUGGCAGACGGGUGAGUAACGCGUGGGAACGUGCCCUUCAGUUCGGGAUAACCCAGGGAAACUUGGGCUAAUACCGGAUACGUGCGAGAGCAGAAAGAUUUAUCGCUGAAGGAUCGGCCCGCGUCUGAUUAGCUAGUUGGUGGGGUAAUGGCCCACCAAGGCGACGAUCAGUAGCUGGUCUGAGAGGAUGAUCAGCCACAUUGGGACUGAGACACGGCCCAAACUCCUACGGGAGGCAGCAGUGGGGAAUAUUGGACAAUGGGCGCAAGCCUGAUCCAGCCAUGCCGCGUGAGUGAUGAAGGCCUUAGGGUUGUAAAGCUCUUUCGUCCGGGACGAUAAUGACGGUACCGGAAGAAGAAGCCCCGGCUAACUUCGUGCCAGCAGCCGCGGUAAUACGAAGGGGGCUAGCGUUGUUCGGAAUCACUGGGCGUAAAGGGCGCGUAGGCGGCCUGAUAAGUCGGGGGUGAAAGCCUGUGGCUCAACCACAGAAUUGCCUUCGAUACUGUCGGGCUUGAGACCGGAAGAGGUAAGUGGAACUGCGAGUGUAGAGGUGAAAUUCGUAGAUAUUCGCAAGAACACCAGUGGCGAAGGCGGCUUACUGGUCCGGUUCUGACGCUGAGGCGCGAAAGCGUGGGGAGCAAACAGGAUUAGAUACCCUAGUAGUCC